This 465-nucleotide ribosomal RNA is filed under the name uncultured bacterium. RNAcentral describes it as "partial 16S ribosomal RNA". It matches the Rfam family "Bacterial small subunit ribosomal RNA", at positions 28 to 507 of the family's 1533-position model. The record is from RNAcentral.
GACGAACGCUGGCGGCGUGCUUAACACAUGCAAGUCGAACGGAAAGGCCCUGCUUGCAGGGUACUCGAGUGGCGAACGGGUGAGUAACACGUGGGUGAUCUGCCCUGCACUUCGGGAUAAGCCUGGUAAACUGGGUCUAAUACCGGAUAGGAGCCAUUUUUAGUGUGAUGGUUGGAAAGUUUUUUCGGUGUAGGAUGAGCUCGCGGCCUAUCAGCUUGUUGGUGGGGUAAUGGCCUACCAAGGCGGCGACGGGUAGCCGGCCUGAGGGGGUGGACGGCCACAUUGGGACUGAGAGACGGCCCAGACGCCUACGGGAGGCAGCAGUGGGGAAGAUUGCACAAUGGGCGCAAGCCGGAUGCAGCGACGCCGCGUGGUGGAUGACGGCCUUCGGGUUGUAAACGCCUUUCGCGAGGGACGAAGCUUUUUGUGACGGUACCUAGAGAAGAAGCACCGGCUAACUACGUG